This is a long non-coding RNA of Apteryx rowi (Okarito brown kiwi), 2834 nucleotides long. The record is from Ensembl. NCBI's taxonomy places the organism in Eukaryota, Metazoa, Chordata, Aves, Apterygiformes, Apterygidae.
UUGCACUCCAAGCGAAUGGCCCAACGGGGGAUUUAUUAGGAAAGAGAGAAGGUCCUGCCCAAAAUCACUUUGGUGCCUGGGACCAGCCCUGGCAGAGUGAGGCAGAGGGUGGAGGCAGAGGGGGGAGGCCAAGGGCAGCUGUCCCACACCACCAGCCUGCCUCACAUGCCCAGCUGCCGCAGGCUUUCCUCGCCCCACACGCUCCUUGCACAGCCCAUGGCCACUGGUCACCAGACACCAUCACCAUCACCGCCAUUGCCGUCACCAUCGUCGCCACCAUCACCACCAUCGUCAUCAUCACCACCGUUGUCACCACCGUCGUCGUCAUCGUCAUCACCAUCAUCAUCCCCGUAGUGGUAGUUGUCGUUAUCAUCAUUGUCAUAGUCAUAGGUGUUGUGUUUGUUUUUCUCCUCCUCCUCCUCCUCCUCCUCAUCAUCAUCAUCAUCACGACCAUCAUCAUCAUCAGCAUCGUCAUCCUCUCCACUGUCACCCUGGUCGGACUCUGUCUUCUCUCCUGACACAGGCUUCUCAACCAGUGCGGGUUUCUUCCCUGGUGUGGGCUUCACCCCAGACACCGGUUUCUCCCCUGUCGCAGGUGUCACAGAAGCCACUGGCUUUUCCCCAGAUGGGUGCUUCUCUUUAGACACCGGAUGUUCACCUGACUCCGGCUUCUUGGCUGGGGUGACUGUGCUGGACUCGGGGCUUGAAACAGAGCUGGGUUUUUCCCUUGACGAAGGGCUUUCCCCUGGCAAAGCGCUUCCUGGCAUCUCUUCCUGUGGUUGUCUCUCUGCACCACCAGCAGGGGCAGGAGAGGUUGCUCCUGGGAUCCCUGAAACGGGAAGAGAAAACAGGAGCGUCGGAGCCCCCACGCGCCCCCAGCUUGCGGUGGCUCCCGGCAGGCACAGCCUCCUCCCCGCAGCAGGCUGUGGGCGCAGGGCUGCCUGCCUGUUCCCGAGGCAGAGGCAAGGCGCCAGACACACUGCUGACCCCCUUCUCUUCCAGCCCGUUCCGCACCCUGCAGAAACGCAGUGGCUGAAGCGACUGGCACCUGUCCUCUGCCCAGAGGUGGGCAGAAUUAUUGCAGUGCUGCUGUUUACUGCCUAACUGCUGACCUCUCUGUCCUUCUUGCUGAAGGCAGUCAAAGAGACGAGCUCUGCUCACCUGGCUGUUUCGCGGGAAGGGCUCUGCCCCUGCACAGCCUGCAUUAGCACUCUGACGGGCAGCCCUGCUGCUCCCAGGAGCUGCUGUCUCUCAGUGCCCUACAGCACGGUACAGCACUCCUUAGACGUGCAAAGCCCACAGUAAUUUGCCCCUUGAUGAACCAAGCUUUUGAACUUGGUAUUUUAACACUGCGACUGGUGCAAUGAGGGCAGAACAAUUUCCCACGCUUACAGUAGCUGAGUUUGCUACAGAGCAGUGCAUGUGCAUUCUCUCCUAUGGGCUUUUCCUGGUGGAUUUUCCGGCCUAGGUCUAUCCCACUGCUGCUGUACAGCCCAGGGAUGAAAGAGUCCACCUGGGGCCAAGUCAAUGUCUAURUGGGAAGGCGUCUCCCAGCAGAUGCAUCUCAGGGUGGUGAAUGAAUUCUGGUAUCAAAAGGGGGCCUUACCGCCAGCAGCAACAGGUCUGCAGACGAGCCUUCCCUGGGAGCUGCUGCACACGUGCCCCGGCGGACAGUCCUUGUCAUCUCUGCACCUGAGCAAACACUUGCACGUGACUCCUGCUGUACUGGGAGAAGCCUGGGGUUAGAGAAGGCACAGCGCAAAGAGCCCGAAGGACCAGACCCUCUGCCAGAGCGGAGGUCUGGGGGCGCAGCACCCACCACUGCCACUAAACCCUCUGCCUGGGCCUGCAGAGAGGCGCUCCCCCCACCACCCACAGCCACGAGCCCAGCAAACACCCUGCGCCGGGGGGGAGCGGUUUGGGGCUGGCAAGUGUCCCGAGCAGCCGGGAGCCGCACGCGGUUGCUCCCAGCGAGCUGCCCUCCAGUCUGGCCCGCGAGAGGAGGCGGCGUCAAGAGCAGGGAGAGCCCUGGGAGCUCUGCAACGACCUGCAGCCCGUGUCCUCCCCCACGACCCACCAGCCUCCCACCUCCACCGCUCUCCGCCAGCAGCAAUCGCCCUCUCCUGCCAGUCAGUCCCACAGCAUCUGAUGACUCCCCUCCCACAGGCAAAAAGCCUUCUGAGCCCAAAUUAAAGACAUAGAAUUGCCAAAGUUUUUCAAAACUUGGACAAAAAAAGUCAAGAAAAUCUGUCUUUCUUUUUUUCCUGGGAGGCUUUUGGGAGUGGGUGGAGGAAAUAAGUGAAAACUGAAAUAUUGAAUGCAGUAACUUUUUAGCAAAAAUUUUUUUUACUUACCUUUAAGAGUAAGAAAUACACUAUGUAUUAUUUAACCAGGACAUAAAUAUAUUGUUAAGUAUAUUUAUGAAAUAAGUAUAUAUGCUUUCUUGUUAGGCAGUAACAAGUAAACACAUUGAGAAACAGAGCUGCACUGCACAGUGCAUUCCUGAGGUAUAUUGCUUGCCUCUUGGUAUCUCUAAAACAGGGAACGGUAUUCAGAAGUUAGAAAUAGAAGGCAUCAACAUUAUUGACUUGCUGACAAAAGGAGGGUCACAUUGUCAGGCUUAAAAUCAGCUUAUAAACUAAGACCAAAAGAAACUCAAGUUUCUAGAGAAGAAAAUUUAGAAAAUCAUCAUGAUAUUUCUAGGCACUUUUUCAUUAGAAUGCAAUAACCCCAGCAUGGAAUUACAGAGCAACAGCAAAUCGGACUCAUAUUGUACAGGAACUGUUAUUGCCUAGUAGUUUAAUUUUCAAAAUAAAAUUGCCUAACCUGAAACA